Phyllostomus discolor (pale spear-nosed bat) is the source of this 1406-nucleotide long non-coding RNA. RefSeq lists it as uncharacterized. The transcript has 2 exons. Lineage: Eukaryota; Metazoa; Chordata; Mammalia; Chiroptera; Phyllostomidae. The record is from RefSeq and is a predicted model, not a curated record.
AAUGAGUAUAGCCUAUUAUAAUUACAAAUGACAUUCCAUCAUGUGCAUGUACUGUAACUUUGUCAGUCUAUUUCCCUGGCCAUUGGGCCUGUUUCCAGUCUUCAUUAUUAUGAAGAAGGAGCACAUGUACAGCUGUGUCUUCUGGUGUGUGCUCCAGACACCUGUGGGGCAAACCAUCAACAGUAUUCGCGGCUCUUCCCACCCUUGCCUACACUUGGUGCUGUUGGACUCUACUCUUUGUCAUGCUCACAGUUGAGAGAACACAGUGCGGUUUGUGUCUCCUUUCAGCUGUUGAGUCUCCUCAUCUGCAGACUGCUUGUUCAUAUUCCUCUUUUCUUACUUUGAUGGUUUAUUUUUGUCCUGAUUUAUACGGCUCUCUGUUCUGUGUGAAGAGCAAAACCUUCUCCUAGUUAAAUUUCUCUUUUGUUUUUCCCCUUGUUUUGAGAUCAUAAACAUAUCCGAACUUUUCUUCCAUUUCUAUUCAAGUUGUAUUUUUCACAUUUAGGUAGCCCAUCAAAGGAGAUGGUUGUUUGGGUCAAAAUCUAACUAUUGCCCUGUAUGAAAACUCAAUUGUCCCAGGGCUUUUAAUGAGCAGUUUGUUCCUUCCCUGUAAAAUAACUAGCUAACAGUCGGGAGUUCCAGAGUAGAGGGAAAGAAUGCAGGGCACAGCCUGGGUGACCCCACUGUAGCCAGGAGGGCAUCACAAAACAGUAAGAUGAGAAAAGCAUUUCCCAGAUGGAUCCACCUCAGAAAGAAAAACAAGGCUAAUUAAGUUUAUCAUAAAAUCAAACUUGUUCCUUUUGAAGGACCAUUCUUUUGUUCUUUAGUCAAAUGAUGGUAACAAUAACUAGAGGCAUUUCUUAUUUAAACAACCUUUCUUGACAGGCCAAAAAGAAAUGGUACCUUUGUGUCUGUCACGCAUUUGUAAGUGUUUCCCGGACUGUGAAACGAGUCAAAUGCGAGGCCCACAGGGCCCCUGGACAGCCUGAGGUGUUCUGUGCGCUGAGGGUUGGUCUCACCAACAGGGCAGUAAACAGUCCAGCACCAAGUCUCACUGUUUCAGACUAUGACUGACUCUGACAAAGGAACUAAUGUUUUCUUCAAAUACUGGACAACAUGAUUUGGACACAAAGAGUAAACAGAUUCAGCAAUGGAAUGAGAAGAAAUACAAAGUUCAAGUUACUGUGAAGAAAGCAAAGAAUACAGAGGAACCAGAAAAUAAAAUAGAGGAGAUAUUUAAUCAAAUCCUCCAGACUAUGCCUGGAAUUGCUACCUUCUCAUCCAAGCCACAACCCAUUAAAGGAGGAAAAGUUAUAAUGGGUGUUCUUUGUUCAUCAUUUGAGCAAAAAAGAAGAGACUGUAUAUAGAGAGACUCAGCAGACCCAGGAAGGAGACCCUUUGAACAA